Molecule: transfer RNA, 68 nt
Filed under: Fannia genualis
Lineage: Eukaryota; Metazoa; Arthropoda; Insecta; Diptera; Fanniidae
Description: tRNA-Trp
Rfam family: tRNA
About the family: Transfer RNA (tRNA) molecules are approximately 80 nucleotides in length. Their secondary structure includes four short double-helical elements and three loops (D, anti-codon, and T loops).
Source: RNAcentral
AAGGCUUUAAGUUAAUUAAACUAAUAGUCUUCAAAACUAUAAAUAUAAGAUGAUUCUUUUAAGCCUUA